RNAcentral lists this ribosomal RNA (1108 nucleotides) under Salmonella enterica. Its description in RNAcentral is "bacterial SSU rRNA". It matches the Rfam family "Bacterial small subunit ribosomal RNA", at positions 1 to 1102 of the family's 1533-position model. RNAcentral also lists the same sequence under 1 other name. Lineage: Bacteria; Pseudomonadati; Pseudomonadota; Gammaproteobacteria; Enterobacterales; Enterobacteriaceae. The record is from RNAcentral.
UGAAGAGUUUGAUCAUGGCUCAGAUUGAACGCUGGCGGCAGGCCUAACACAUGCAAGUCGAACGGUAACAGGAAGCAGCUUGCUGCUUCGCUGACGAGUGGCGGACGGGUGAGUAAUGUCUGGGAAACUGCCUGAUGGAGGGGGAUAACUACUGGAAACGGUGGCUAAUACCGCAUAACGUCGCAAGACCAAAGAGGGGGACCUUCGGGCCUCUUGCCAUCAGAUGUGCCCAGAUGGGAUUAGCUAGUUGGUGAGGUAACGGCUCACCAAGGCGACGAUCCCUAGCUGGUCUGAGAGGAUGACCAGCCACACUGGAACUGAGACACGGUCCAGACUCCUACGGGAGGCAGCAGUGGGGAAUAUUGCACAAUGGGCGCAAGCCUGAUGCAGCCAUGCCGCGUGUAUGAAGAAGGCCUUCGGGUUGUAAAGUACUUUCAGCGGGGAGGAAGGUGUUGUGGUUAAUAACCACAGCAAUUGACGUUACCCGCAGAAGAAGCACCGGCUAACUCCGUGCCAGCAGCCGCGGUAAUACGGAGGGUGCAAGCGUUAAUCGGAAUUACUGGGCGUAAAGCGCACGCAGGCGGUCUGUCAAGUCGGAUGUGAAAUCCCCGGGCUCAACCUGGGAACUGCAUUCGAAACUGGCAGGCUUGAGUCUUGUAGAGGGGGGUAGAAUUCCAGGUGUAGCGGUGAAAUGCGUAGAGAUCUGGAGGAAUACCGGUGGCGAAGGCGGCCCCCUGGACAAAGACUGACGCUCAGGUGCGAAAGCGUGGGGAGCAAACAGGAUUAGAUACCCUGGUAGUCCACGCCGUAAACGAUGUCUACUUGGAGGUUGUGCCCUUGAGGCGUGGCUUCCGGAGCUAACGCGUUAAGUAGACCGCCUGGGGAGUACGGCCGCAAGGUUAAAACUCAAAUGAAUUGACGGGGGCCCGCACAAGCGGUGGAGCAUGUGGUUUAAUUCGAUGCAACGCGAAGAACCUUACCUGGUCUUGACAUCCACAGAACUUUCCAGAGAUGGAUUGGUGCCUUCGGGAACUGUGAGACAGGUGCUGCAUGGCUGUCGUCAGCUCGUGUUGUGAAAUGUUGGGUUAAGUCCCGCAACGAGCGCAAC